Molecule: non-coding RNA, 4391 nt
Organism: Peromyscus maniculatus bairdii (prairie deer mouse)
Lineage: Eukaryota; Metazoa; Chordata; Mammalia; Rodentia; Cricetidae
Source: RefSeq, a predicted model, not a curated record
CGCCCACUUUCCCCAGGUGCCAUUUCUCGUCCUUUCCCUCUGAGUUAGUUCUUAUCCUCGAAGGUCAAAUGAACUUCUUGUAGAUGACAAAAUGAUGGAUUUUGUUUCUCAAUCCAGCCAACAGACCUGUGCUUUUCGGUCGGGGAGUUGAGACCACUGAUAUUCAAAACUGUCUCUGAAAAGUGUGUGUUGAAUGCUGUCACAUUGUUGUUGUUGUUGUUUCUGUUUGUGUUCUUAGUUCUAUUUUGUGUGUCAGCACUUACAGUUUCUUUUUCUUUCUGUGGCCUCUUGCUUGUACUUACUCAUCUCUUUGACCCUCAGUUGGCGGCGCUGUCUGGGGAGGUUACGGAACCUUAGAGGAGCCUUGCUGGAGGAAGCGCACCAUUGGGGGUUGCUUUGAGAGCCCAUGGCCUUGCCUCACUUUCAGUUCGCUCUCUGGGCUUCCUGUUUGUGGGUGAGGAUGGGCUUUCUCUCAUCUUCUUGCUCUGGCCUCCUGAUGCCAUGCCUCCUCUGCCGUUAGGGACUCUUUCCCUCCAGAACUGUAAACCCAGAGCAAACUAAGUUGCUUUUGGUCAUGGUGUUUUAUCAUAGCAACAGAACAGUAACUAAUACAGUCUUCACCAUUUCAUUCAGCCUCACGCUUGUGUUUUCUCAGACUUUUCUCAGGAUUUAUUCCUCUUUUCUUUAAGUUCAUUCAAGUAGUUCAUGUCCUCUUUAAAGUUCUUGAAUUAUUUAAUCGUGUUUAUAAUUUUUCUAUUAAAUUCUGUAUCCUGGAGCUCAUCAGAUUUUUUUCACUGAAGAACAAUUCUAUAGGAGUAGGGGGUUUUUCAGGGGUAGUAGUGGUGAGGGACAUACUGUCACGGUCUUUCAUAUUGUGUUUUGUGUGAUAUGACAUGUGCAGAGAGGCUUACUUCAUUGGCUAUGUGUCUGAAAUGACAAUCUAGCUGCCUCUGUUGAGUGGAAGUUUUGCUGUGUCUCAGACUUGGUGCAUUUCAGAUGAGAAAUGAAGGUUUGUAGGUCAGUCCUUUGGGUGUUCAGUGUUAAUUUUUGAUUGGAGAUACGGAGCUGAUUCCAAUUCAGUGGUAACUGGGAAAGCCUGCAGAUAUGGCUCUGGACUUGGUCCAAGUAUAGAAGGGCAGUGACUGAUAGAGCAAGAAGGGGUAGUGUGGAGCAGACUCACCAUGAGAGCAAGUGUGGGUGCAAUCUGGGAGUGGGGGGAUGCAGGCAAGGGUCUGGAAUGACUAUCGCAGGGUGUGUGCACAGAGGUUGGACUCCUAGUUGGGCCUGGGUAUGGAGUUUUCAAGUGAAAAAGAUCUAGGGAAUUCACCCAAUGCACAUAUAGUGACCCAACUAAGCAUAAGGGGCAGUGUGGGAAGAGGUCUGGGUGUGGCAGGGUGGUGUGGAUGGCAUGGAUGGGAGUUUGGAGCCAUUACUCAGUCAGUACACAUGUAGAUGGUGGAUGGGUCUGGGUCUGUUGUAAUAUUUUAUCAAAAAAGUAGUUCAGGCUUAUAAUGGGGGGCAGGUGGCAAAAAGAACAUCUGACAGGCUAAUGAUAUCAUUCACCAAUAUUAAUAAGGGGGAUAUCAGAUUCUUCCCACACUGCCCCAGGGCAUAAUACACAAAAUGCAGGAGUCUGUGUGCAUACCUAUAUAUGGUGUGUACAUUUACGGAAUGUGGACCAUUGUGGUAGCCUAUUAAUGAUGAUACUGUCUUUAGCUAACUACCCUCUUUUGGGGUGAAAUUAAGUUGUUUCUGAAUGUUUGCACUAUUAAAGAGCUGUCUGGAGAUUAUCUCUGUAGCUGAGUCUUAGUCUACAUAUUUGAGAGUGCGUUAGGAUAAAUUCCCAGAGGAAGACUUUUUGGGUGAUGGGUAAUUCACACUGUCACCCAUCGUGACAGUGCCCUGAGUCAGGUGACAAGUGUUAAUUAGACAUCACACCAGGAAGCCGUCAUUUUGGCUCGGCACUGUCAUCACUGCUCACAACACUCGGUGAACUCUGUGUUUGGUGAUCCCAGCUGUGACUCACACAGGAAAAUAAACCGUCAUCUCUCAUGCUGCCUUUGAUCUUCGACUCUUCUGGGAAACCUAAUUUACCACGAAAGCGACCGUGGAGGAUGCUCAUGCCAGCGUGUCAGCAGCUCCGGGGAGGAGAACGAAGCCUGGCACGGCCUGCAGUGCUGACAAUCGGAGACAUCGGAGACAUGUUCACUGUCCCGGCGGCCAGCUCUUCGUGCGUAUGUCCUGACGGGAUUCUCAAAAAGGUGAUGUCCCGGUUUUUUCCCACUUAAAAAGCGGGCUUCGAGACAGAAACAGAACCAUUUAGUGCCAAGAAGGCCAUCCAGUAGGGAUGAAGCUUCCAGCUGUCUUACAGGUUCCUGGGGAAAGUUCUGCUACUGUAGCAAGAAAUCUGGCCUGAUGAAAACUAACCAUCUCCAGAGCCCAUGUUGACCCCAUCCAUCUUUCCAGCAUCGUUUGCAGACUCACUCCUCCCCUGACCUCCAGAGAAACAGCAGAUGCCAUGGCUUUUGUACUCCUGAUUCGGCAUGCCAUUCCCCCAAGCUCCUGGAACAUCGAUGCAGCAACCUGCCUUCUCAGCUGUCAAGGAACAGACACCUAAGGCUCCUGCCGUGUGUGACUCCUGGCUUCCCCCUCCCCACUUUACCCCUUGUCAGCAUGAAGCAGCCUCGAGAAUUCAGCGCCCUUGUUCCCCGACUUGCUAUCCAUAACUCACCUUUUUUAUAUAAUCAGUGUUAGUCUUUUGACCUGCCCCUUGGAAACCCACCCCUUGGGGACCCUCCUAGCGUCCUGAUGUAAAGAGAACUGCCCUUCCACGCCCCAUGACAUGUGCACCCUCAAACCCCCCCCUCUUUCUUUCUGCCUCCCUCUUUCCCUAUCUUUCUCUUUGUCUCUCUACUAUAAUAAACUUAUUUCCACGUGGAUGCAGUGCCUGGGGGAUGAGUGACUAUCCAUGUGCCACAACCCAGCGCUGCAUCUGCCCGGCAUGUUUUCCCUCACACGUGGGAUACCCUGCCUGGCCCCCUCGUGUAAUAUCCUAAUAUGUGUCCUUUCAAUAGUCGUGCUUAUUGACUAUUUUUCCUUAUUGGUGUUUGAACAUAGUAUUUCAUCAGCCUUGUCUUCCAUUUAUCUUUUUUUUCUUUUUUUUUUUUUUUUUUUGAGACAGGGUUUCUCUGUGUAGCUUUGUGCCUUUCCUGGAACUUGCUUUGUAGACCAGGCUGGUCUCCUGAGUGCUGGGAUUAAAGGCGUGCGUCACCACCGCCCGGCCUUGUCUUCCAUUUAUAAUACUCUUUUUUUUUUCUUGUUUGGUUGAGCUUAUUGAUGAUAUUUCCCAUUAUGUUGUUUUUAUUUGUGUUGGUGUUCUGUUUUUUGCAGGUCCAUUGAAGAAAAAGGGUCACUCCAGAAUGUAAUUUCAGGCUUAGCAGAAAGCAGCAAGGGGACUCAGUCUCAAUGGACUGACCACUCGUGGCUUUGCAAAGGCCUCCUUUAUUGUUACACAAAAAAACACCUUUAGCAAACCAAUUUCUGCACACCAAAAGCUCUUAUCUGGAGUUGUUUGGAGCAACCAUUUACCUAUGUAAUUCUCAGCCAUGAGACCUCCCAGCUUGCCAGGUUCUCUCAAAACUAAGUUUUGCAAAGGUUCUGGACUCCUUCCAGAGGAACUCUGGUAAGAAUCAACUGACUUUAAAUGAAAGCUCACUCAAACCCUAGGUACUAGUCCUCGGGAAUUCAGUCAGAUGCAAUGGCUCUGUGAAAUCUCUUGCAUAUUUGAUUCAUUGAGUUUUUAAUUUCCAACAUUUGUUUUUCAAAAAUCUCAGUUUCCUUGCUGAUAUUUUCUUCCACAUAACUGACUGUUUACAUCUAGAUUGCUCAUUUUCUCAUCCAUUUUUGCUGACUUUUUUUCACAGUGUUUCUGAUCCUCCUAUCCAGGUCCUGGAUUGACUUUGUUUGUUUGUAUCCUCUUUGAGGUCACCAAUCAUCUUACCAGAAAACUUUUGAAGUUCAUGUGACUUAUAAUCUAUUUCAGUGUCUUUGAGAACAGUAGUGGAGGAGUUAUGAACUUUACAGGGAUCAUGUUGCCUUGCCUUUUUGUAUUUCUUCUAUUUCAGUGCUGUAAUUUGUGCAUCUUUUGGAAAAGAAAAAAGAAAAAGAAAAAGGAAAAAAAUACACCAAGUCCGAUUUGUGUUGCCCAUAUACUCAUGGGUCAAGGACAAAUUCCCAGCGGCUAUCCCCCUAAAGAUAACUGAGUCCUGUCCUCCCCCACCCCCCACCCCUGCCAGAAGUCAUUAACUUCAGCACCUUUAUUACAAUUUUUAAGAAAUGCCUUUAAUCCCAGCACUUAGGAGGCAGAGCCAGGUGGAUCUUUGUGAGUUCGA